Alosa sapidissima (American shad) is the source of this 1691-nucleotide long non-coding RNA. RefSeq lists it as uncharacterized. The record is from RefSeq and is a predicted model, not a curated record. The transcript has 4 exons. Lineage: Eukaryota; Metazoa; Chordata; Actinopteri; Clupeiformes; Clupeidae.
CCAGAUAGCAAGCAUAGUCGGCCCGAUUCUGGCUGAGUGCUGGCAGUGUCGGCUGAGGUCCGAGUCGGCUGAAGCACAGUAAACACAGUCGGCCCGAUCCUGGCUGAGUGCUGCCACUGUCGGCGGAGUUUCAGGUCGGCUGAGGCACUGUCCCCUUGAAUGGGCCGACACUGACACGCAGUAGUUGGGCUGAUUACUGAGUGUCUUAUUUGGCCCGAUUGGGGUUUGAUGGGCUACUGCCAGUUUUCGAAUCAAUCUCGGCAGACGGAUUUCAUACAGUGUGUGGCCCGAUACUUCAGAAACGAACACUGAUCAGUAUCGAGGCUGUUGGCGGCAAAAAUGAAACAUUUAGCGACAGCCGGACGCUAAACGUACAUGGCCCAAUUUUGUAAAGUGACUGUCGGCCCAUUACAUGUGGAAGAGCCACGAGCAGAGCAACUGUUCAGUUUGAAACCAGCAGGACGGCGCGAAACUGUCUCGUUUUGGACACUGCCUGUGGCCUACACCUCAGAAUCCAGGCCACACAGAGACCUGCCUGCACUGAAGGCUACCCGUGUAUACAUGUGUGAACCAUUUCUUGUGUUGGAAAAACAGGAGACCUGAAGAGCUCUUGAUGCUUUUGGUUUGCCUCAUCCAUUUUGUCAGCAAAGAACAGGAGUGGGCAGGAAACAUGCGCUGUUGAAAACAUGGCCAACCAACUGGAGCACCCACAAGGUUCUUGUGAAGGAAGUCCACAAGUGCUUCAGGUCUGUAUGUGUUGACAAAUAUGUCUUGCUCUUGGUGAUUGUCAUUGGUAAUAUAUCAGCAUUUAACAAUCACACAAUGUCAAUGUUGCCCAAAAUAACUACCAGGGAGGUGUUACCAAGACAGCUGCAGAAUGGCAAGACUGGGCUUUAGUAAUAUUUUGUCAGACAGUAAAGGAUACAUAGUUUAAUGAUUUUUUUUCUUUUCUUUUGAAAUGACAUGCUGUCCAUGCAUCUCAAAUUGAAGGAUGGAUGGAAAGAACUCUUUGAUCAACCCCCACAGAGAGCUGAGGUGGCUAUCUUUUGGAGACACCCCCGGCUGCUAGUGCUGCUGAAACUGGUGGAGGCAACAAUGAAGCGGCAACAGAAGGAGAAGGCAGGUGGCAAAGGUUGCUGCUAUUGAAAAAUACUUUGAGAGUGAGUGUGUGUGCAUGUAUGUAGCUGGGUAGGUCAUGGUACAAAAAUACAGAAUUUAAAGCACUUAACACUUAACUCACAUCCCACUACUGACAAUGGAAUUACUCUUUUAGAGUGAGUGAGUGAGGGAGAGAGAUAGAAUAUUUCUGUAAAUGUUUAAUGUUAAUUUAGAAUCAUUUAUUUCUUUGAAUCAUUAUACAGUUUUAAAAUGUUUAAUUGUUUGUGUUUUUGUAUAUGAAAGAAGUCGAUUGUUGUAGAUAAAAGUAGAUUGUAUAUUUUAACUUGUUUAAUUUCUAAAGUGUAUAUAUGUAAAAGCUUGUAUAAUUUUUAAAUGUUUGUUUUAUUUGCAAGGUUGUGUUUGUCAAACUUGUUAAUAAAAGUAGCUUGUGCUUUUAAUUACUAGUUCUGGAUUUGUGUUUAUUUUCAAGUACUUUUGGUAGUUAAUGGGCCACAUGUGGCCCGGGGACCCAGCCGACAUUCAGCCAACACUCAGUCAGAUCAGUUUUAUAGUGUGUGGGCCAGUACAGGCCC